AGCUUUGCACAGUGGCAGUGUCGUAGCCAAUGAAGUUAAUCUGAGGCACAAUUACUAUUUGUUGAAAACUUUUACUUACCAUACGCUGCGAUUACUGUAUAUUUUGAAAUAGA
This is a small nuclear RNA of Vulpes vulpes (red fox), 113 nucleotides long. Its record names the gene U4. It matches the Rfam family "U4 spliceosomal RNA". From Rfam's summary of the family: U4 small nuclear RNA (U4 snRNA) is a component of the major U2-dependent spliceosome. NCBI's taxonomy places the organism in Eukaryota, Metazoa, Chordata, Mammalia, Carnivora, Canidae. The record is from Ensembl.